GACGAACGCUGGCGGCGUGCUUAACACAUGCAAGUCGAACGGUGAAGGGAGCAGCUUGCUGGUUUUGGAUUAGUGGCGAACGGGUGAGUAACACGUGAGUAACCUGCCUCCUUCUUCUGGAUAACCGCAUGAAAGUGUGGCUAAUACGGGAUAUUCUUUUUCUGUCGCAUGUCGGGCCCUGGAAAGAGAUUUCUUCGUUGGUUGUUGGUCUCUCGGCAGAUCAUCAUGUUGGUGGGGUGAUGGCAUACCAAGGCGGUGACGCGUAGCCGGCCUGGGAGGGGGGACGGUUACAACGGGAACGCGACACGGACCAGAAUGGUACGGGACGGAGCAGUGGGGACUAUUGCACAAGGGGCGCAAGCCUGAUGCAGCGACGCCGCGUGAGGGAGGGAGGCCUUCGGGUUGUAAACCUAUUUCGCAAGUGAAGAAGGCCUGCUACUUGUGGGUGGGUUGACGGUAGCUGGAUAAGAAGCGACGGCUAACUACGUG
Molecule: ribosomal RNA, 489 nt
Filed under: uncultured bacterium
Lineage: Bacteria
Description: partial 16S ribosomal RNA
Rfam family: Bacterial small subunit ribosomal RNA
Source: RNAcentral